RNAcentral lists this long non-coding RNA (490 nucleotides) under Nicotiana benthamiana. RNAcentral describes it as "long non-coding RNA (NBEN_LNC017286)". The record is from RNAcentral. Lineage: Eukaryota; Viridiplantae; Streptophyta; Magnoliopsida; Solanales; Solanaceae.
UUCAUCUUCUCUCAAUCAUUGAAGAACCCUAAUCCAAGUCCGCCAUUUCUGGCCAGCAAAAAGCUCCGUCCACCUUAAAAGUCCAACCAAGCCACCAAAUCAACCUCUAUUUCUCAUGGAAUCACCACCAAGUCGGGCAAGUUUCGAUUUAAAGUCGAAGAGAAGAGUAACUUUUCAGAGCCUUCAAGUUUUUUAAGAACGAUUUGUUUCUGAGUCAGUAUAGGUCGUUUGUUCUCAAGCAGAACACGCAGUCAAUAUAGAAUUCGAGUCGAAUCGGAGACUUCAGAAAUUUUGAUUGAAGGGCUGAUUUUAGUAUGUUUUUAUUUCUUUAGCUUUUCAUUUGUUUCGUCGUUUUGUUUAGUUCAAUCGAGCAUGAGUUUUGUUUCUAGGUAAAACCUGAGUUUAUCUUUUAAUUGCUCUAAUUCGUCUUAAGCCAGUUUUAGUCUUUGUUUAAAUUCUGAAUUGUUUUAAAUUCCUUGUUAGUUUGUCG